This 557-nucleotide ribosomal RNA is filed under the name uncultured bacterium. RNAcentral's name for it is "bacterial SSU rRNA". It matches the Rfam family "Bacterial small subunit ribosomal RNA", at positions 102 to 694 of the family's 1533-position model. The record is from RNAcentral. RNAcentral also lists the same sequence under 1 other name.
ACGGGUGCGUAACGCGUGGGAAUCUGCCCUUUGGUUCGGAAUAACAGUUGGAAACGACUGCUAAUACCGGAUGAUGACGAAAGUCCAAAGAUUUAUCGCCAGAGGAUGAGCCCGCGUAGGAUUAGCUAGUUGGUGUGGUAAAGGCGCACCAAGGCGACGAUCCUUAGCUGGUCUGAGAGGAUGAUCAGCCACACUGGGACUGAGACACGGCCCAGACUCCUACGGGAGGCAGCAGUGGGGAAUAUUGGACAAUGGGCGAAAGCCUGAUCCAGCAAUGCCGCGUGAGUGAUGAAGGCCUUAGGGUUGUAAAGCUCUUUUACCCGGGAUGAUAAUGACAGUACCGGGAGAAUAAGCUCCGGCUAACUCCGUGCCAGCAGCCGCGGUAAUACGGAGGGAGCUAGCGUUGUUCGGAAUUACUGGGCGUAAAGCGCACGUAGGCGGCUUUGUAAGUUAGAGGUGAAAGCCUGGAGCUCAACUCCAGAACUGCCUUUAAGACUGCAUCGCUUGAAUCCAGGAGAGGUGAGUGGAAUUCCGAGUGUAGAGGUGAAAUUCGUAGA